GGAUUGUGGCUCAGUGGUAGAGUGCUCGCCUAGCAUGUGCAAGGCCCUGGGUUUGAUACUCAGCACCA
Molecule: transfer RNA, 68 nt
Filed under: Marmota monax (woodchuck)
Lineage: Eukaryota; Metazoa; Chordata; Mammalia; Rodentia; Sciuridae
Description: tRNA.Ala
Source: RNAcentral